This 1640-nucleotide long non-coding RNA is filed under the name Rattus norvegicus (Norway rat). RNAcentral's name for it is "long non-coding RNA NONRATT004771". Lineage: Eukaryota; Metazoa; Chordata; Mammalia; Rodentia; Muridae. The record is from RNAcentral.
UGGAAGGUGGAAUCCAGUACUCACUCAGUCAGUGUUUGGAAAGGCUUGUGGUGCUGGCUGGCAGCUCAGGGUCAUAGCCGGGUGGGGGAGGGUGAAGUUGCAGGAUAGGAAUCCUUGACUGGACAAUGAUAACCCCUCCAUUAUCCUUACCCCCUGUCCUCAAUCCUCACCCCACCCCUACCAGCCUGGGGACAGGUGCCCCGACUUCCCCUACUCCUCCACCCCAUCUCCCCCAGCUUCAGGGACCAGAGGGCCCAUAUUACAGGCCCCUUUAGGGUGGCCAGGGCAGACAAUGCUGGCUGGAAGAGUGGCCUCCUUGCCCUGUGGGGCUGAGGCACAGAGGCCGAGAGAAGCUAAGAGCUGGCCUGGGUGGUGGAUGGACACAAGGACCUGCAGACCAAACUGCCAGACUUUAUAACCUCCAGCCUGUGUCUCUGGACCGGAGUGGAGCUGGGGCUCUCCCAGCAUCUCACCACUUGGAGGCUGCUCCCUGCCCACAGGGUCCGUAUGGCCCCUGGGCCUCUUGACUUGAGAUUCUUGGCCCCUUCCUCUUCCCCAUCAUUGUGCUGUCUGUUGCAUUCUGGCCUCCAACUUGGAGGGAUUGCCUCAACAUCUCCCACCCCUGCUCCCCAUCCCAGGAGGGAUAGAGCCCACCCUUGAGCCGGAGGCUGGGCCUGGUCCUGCACUGAUAUCUCUCCUAUCCUUCAGGGGGGAAGGAGAAUGUGACUAGGGGAAAGGGUAGUCCAGGACACCUGGAAUCCAGCCCCCCUUCCUAGGAAGGGCAGCAGCCCUCAACUUCUCCGUGUGCCUCCCCUCUCCCAGGUGCCAAACAGCCAUAGGCCUCCUCCUGGAACUGCCCUGAGGCCACUCUGGGGUUGGGGGUUUCCUUGGUCUAGCCUAGGAAUGCCAGGAGGGAGGGAGGUCAGCUUAGGUGGUGUGCCUGCAGAGCUCUCACUGGAGAGCUAGGCCCUACCCAGGGCCACACCCGGAAGCCUUGUAUUAACAUCAAAGAGACUCAGCCUCCCCUCCUCCACUCCCCCACUGUUUUCCAAUGUUUUCACUGGAGGGCAAAAUUUUACUACUCAUCUUUCUGGAGACCAGGGCUGCUUACUGUCAGCCUGCUUUCUAAGUGAAAUUGACUCCAUUUCCCCACGUUAACCCCAAAUUGGGGCUUGGACCAAGGGAGGUGAGAACCCUCAGGUACCCUCCCCUUUCAGAAUCCAUCUCUUGCCACUUCCACAUACCACCCCGGCCCUAAGCCUAACUUUGUUUUAUUUUUUUUUUCUUCUUUUUAAAACAACCCAGUUCUAUCCUUUUCGGUUUCUCCUAGUCCCCUGUAAAUAGACCAUACCAUCAAUCAGUAUUUCUUGCCCCUCUCUUCCUCCCCUCGACGUGCCCCUACUCCCCCGAAAGAGCUGGCUGUCACAGUGCCCGGCCCCUGCACUUCACCCAGGCAGAUGGAGGGGGCGGAGCCGGGUGGGCGGGCCCUCGGUGUACUUCCGGUUUUGACCGGCAGCGCUCCUGCCCCGCCCUUGGAGGACCCCGUCUCUGUAUAUAAUAUAUAUAUGUAUGUAUUGUUCCUGGUUUUGUACGGACCAUGCCCUCUGUCAGGUCGUCCCCAUAAAAGCAGCCCCCAGAGC